UGUAUAAUGGGUCAGCGACUUAUAUUCUGUAGCAAGGUUAACCGAAUAGGGGAGCCGAAGGGAAACCGAGUCUUAACUGGGCGUUAAGUUGCAGGGUAUAGACCCGAAACCCGGUGAUCUAGCCAUGGGCAGGUUGAAGGUUGGGUAACACUAACUGGAGGACCGAACCGACUAAUGUUGAAAAAUUAGCGGAUGACUUGUGGCUGGGGGUGAAAGGCCAAUCAAACCGGGAGAUAGCUGGUUCUCCCCGAAAGCUAUUUAGGUAGCGCCUCGUGAAUUCAUCUCCGGGGGUAGAGCACUGUUUCGGCAAGGGGGUCAUCCCGACUUACCAACCCGAUGCAAACUGCGAAUACCGGAGAAUGUUAUCACGGGAGACAC
This 378-nucleotide ribosomal RNA is filed under the name Escherichia coli. RNAcentral's name for it is "partial 23S ribosomal RNA". It matches the Rfam family "Bacterial large subunit ribosomal RNA", at positions 609 to 987 of the family's 2925-position model. The record is from RNAcentral. Lineage: Bacteria; Pseudomonadati; Pseudomonadota; Gammaproteobacteria; Enterobacterales; Enterobacteriaceae.